RNAcentral lists this ribosomal RNA (758 nucleotides) under uncultured fungus. Its description in RNAcentral is "eukaryotic LSU rRNA". It matches the Rfam family "Eukaryotic large subunit ribosomal RNA", at positions 40 to 647 of the family's 3401-position model. The record is from RNAcentral. Lineage: Eukaryota; Fungi.
AUAUCAAUAAGCGGAGGAAAAGAAAAUAACAAUGAUUCCCCUAGUAACUGCGAGUGAAGAGGGACAAGCUCAAAUUUUAAAUCUGUCGGGUUUUUCCUGACCGAGUUGUAAUUUGAAGAAGCGUUUUCUGCACUGUUUGAUCAGCCCAAGUCCUAUUGAAUGAGGCAUCAUGGAGGGUGAUAAUCCCGUCCGGUUGAUCAUUGUGCUUUACGAUACGCUUUCAAAGAGUCAAGUUGUUUGGGAUUGCAGCUUAAAAUGGGAGGUAAAUUUCUCCUAGGGCUAAAUAACGGCGAGAGACCGAUAGCGAACAAGUACCGUGAGGGAAAGAUGAAAAGAACUUUGAAAAGAGAGUUAAACAGUACGUGAAAUUGUUGAAAGGGAAACGAUUGAAGCCAGUCGUACCUUCGGGUAAUCAGCCUUUCGGGUGCGAUUCUGUGAGGUGUGAGGAGUUAAACGCCUUCAUGUUUUGCAUAUUCGUGCUCUUGGGUGUACUUGCCCGUGUGGUUGGUUAACAUCAAUUUUGGACGCCAUAAAAUGACUGGAGGAAUGUAGCUUCGAUCUCGUAUUGAAGUGUUAUAGCCUUCGGUAGAUGUGGUUUUCGAGAUUGAGGAUUGCAACGGAUACCCUUCGGGGCUACUUAUCUGAUCUCUGAUCGUUGCUCUGGUGCCGAAAGCUUGCUUACGGUUAUCAAAGUCGAUGGUCAAUAGGUUAGAAUAGGUUAAAUUCGUUAAGGAUGUUGACGUAAUGGCUUUAAACGA